GAUGAACGCUGGCGGCGUGCCUAAUACAUGCAAGUCGAGCGAACAGACGAGGAGCUUGCUCCUCUGACGUUAGCGGCGGACGGGUGAGUAACACGUGGAUAACCUACCUAUAAGACUGGGAUAACUUCGGGAAACCGGAGCUAAUACCGGAUAAUAUAUUGAACCGCAUGGUUCAAUAGUGAAAGACGGUUUUGCUGUCACUUAUAGAUGGAUCCGCGCCGCAUUAGCUAGUUGGUAAGGUAACGGCUUACCAAGGCAACGAUGCGUAGCCGACCUGAGAGGGUGAUCGGCCACACUGGAGCUGAGACACGGUCCAGACUCCUACGGGAGGCAGCAGUAGGGAAUCUUCCGCAAUGGGCGAAAGCCUGACGGAGCAACGCCGCGUGAGUGAUGAAGGUCUUCGGAUCGUAAAACUCUGUUAUUAGGGAAGAGCAAAUGUGUAAGUAACUAUGCACGUCUUGACGGUACCUAAUCAGAAAGCCACGGCUAACUACGUG
RNAcentral lists this ribosomal RNA (497 nucleotides) under uncultured bacterium. RNAcentral's name for it is "partial 16S ribosomal RNA". It matches the Rfam family "Bacterial small subunit ribosomal RNA", at positions 28 to 507 of the family's 1533-position model. The record is from RNAcentral.